RNAcentral lists this ribosomal RNA (2580 nucleotides) under Escherichia coli. RNAcentral's name for it is "partial 23S ribosomal RNA". It matches the Rfam family "Bacterial large subunit ribosomal RNA", at positions 381 to 2925 of the family's 2925-position model. Lineage: Bacteria; Pseudomonadati; Pseudomonadota; Gammaproteobacteria; Enterobacterales; Enterobacteriaceae. The record is from RNAcentral.
AAAAAUGCACAUGCUGUGAGCUCGAUGAGUAGGGCGGGACACGUGGUAUCCUGUCUGAAUAUGGGGGGACCAUCCUCCAAGGCUAAAUACUCCUGACUGACCGAUAGUGAACCAGUACCGUGAGGGAAAGGCGAAAAGAACCCCGGCGAGGGGAGUGAAAAAGAACCUGAAACCGUGUACGUACAAGCAGUGGGAGCACAGAGCAAUCUGUGUGACUGCGUACCUUUUGUAUAAUGGGUCAGCGACUUAUAUUCUGUAGCAAGGUUAACCGAAUAGGGGAGCCGAAGGGAAACCGAGUCUUAACUGGGCGUUAAGUUGCAGGGUAUAGACCCGAAACCCGGUGAUCUAGCCAUGGGCAGGUUGAAGGUUGGGUAACACUAACUGGAGGACCGAACCGACUAAUGUUGAAAAAUUAGCGGAUGACUUGUGGCUGGGGGUGAAAGGCCAAUCAAACCGGGAGAUAGCUGGUUCUCCCCGAAAGCUAUUUAGGUAGCGCCUCGUGAAUUCAUCUCCGGGGGUAGAGCACUGUUUCGGCAAGGGGGUCAUCCCGACUUACCAACCCGAUGCAAACUGCGAAUACCGGAGAAUGUUAUCACGGGAGACACACGGCGGGUGCUAACGUCCGUCGUGAAGAGGGAAACAACCCAGACCGCCAGCUAAGGUCCCAAAGUCAUGGUUAAGUGGGAAACGAUGUGGGAAGGCCCAGACAGCCAGGAUGUUGGCUUAGAAGCAGCCAUCAUUUAAAGAAAGCGUAAUAGCUCACUGGUCGAGUCGGCCUGCGCGGAAGAUGUAACGGGGCUAAACCAUGCACCGAAGCUGCGGCAGCGACACUGUGUGUUGUUGGGUAGGGGAGCGUUCUGUAAGCCUGUGAAGGUGUGCUGUGAGGCAUGCUGGAGGUAUCAGAAGUGCGAAUGCUGACAUAAGUAACGAUAAAGCGGGUGAAAAGCCCGCUCGCCGGAAGACCAAGGGUUCCUGUCCAACGUUAAUCGGGGCAGGGUGAGUCGACCCCUAAGGCGAGGCCGAAAGGCGUAGUCGAUGGGAAACAGGUUAAUAUUCCUGUACUUGGUGUUACUGCGAAGGGGGGACGGAGAAGGCUAUGUUGGCCGGGCGACGGUUGUCCCGGUUUAAGCGUGUAGGCUGGUUUUCCAGGCAAAUCCGGAAAAUCAAGGCUGAGGCGUGAUGACGAGGCACUACGGUGCUGAAGCAACAAAUGCCCUGCUUCCAGGAAAAGCCUCUAAGCAUCAGGUAACAUCAAAUCGUACCCCAAACCGACACAGGUGGUCAGGUAGAGAAUACCAAGGCGCUUGAGAGAACUCGGGUGAAGGAACUAGGCAAAAUGGUGCCGUAACUUCGGGAGAAGGCACGCUGAUAUGUAGGUGAAGUCCCUCGCGGAUGGAGCUGAAAUCAGUCGAAGAUACCAGCUGGCUGCAACUGUUUAUUAAAAACACAGCACUGUGCAAACACGAAAGUGGACGUAUACGGUGUGACGCCUGCCCGGUGCCGGAAGGUUAAUUGAUGGGGUCAGCGCAAGCGAAGCUCUUGAUCGAAGCCCCGGUAAACGGCGGCCGUAACUAUAACGGUCCUAAGGUAGCGAAAUUCCUUGUCGGGUAAGUUCCGACCUGCACGAAUGGCGUAAUGAUGGCCAGGCUGUCUCCACCCGAGACUCAGUGAAAUUGAACUCGCUGUGAAGAUGCAGUGUACCCGCGGCAAGACGGAAAGACCCCGUGAACCUUUACUAUAGCUUGACACUGAACAUUGAGCCUUGAUGUGUAGGAUAGGUGGGAGGCUUUGAAGUGUGGACGCCAGUCUGCAUGGAGCCGACCUUGAAAUACCACCCUUUAAUGUUUGAUGUUCUAACGUGGACCCGUGAUCCGGGUUGCGGACAGUGUCUGGUGGGUAGUUUGACUGGGGCGGUCUCCUCCUAAAGAGUAACGGAGGAGCACGAAGGUUGGCUAAUCCUGGUCGGACAUCAGGAGGUUAGUGCAAUGGCAUAAGCCAGCUUGACUGCGAGCGUGACGGCGCGAGCAGGUGCGAAAGCAGGUCAUAGUGAUCCGGUGGUUCUGAAUGGAAGGGCCAUCGCUCAACGGAUAAAAGGUACUCCGGGGAUAACAGGCUGAUACCGCCCAAGAGUUCAUAUCGACGGCGGUGUUUGGCACCUCGAUGUCGGCUCAUCACAUCCUGGGGCUGAAGUAGGUCCCAAGGGUAUGGCUGUUCGCCAUUUAAAGUGGUACGCGAGCUGGGUUUAGAACGUCGUGAGACAGUUCGGUCCCUAUCUGCCGUGGGCGCUGGAGAACUGAGGGGGGCUGCUCCUAGUACGAGAGGACCGGAGUGGACGCAUCACUGGUGUUCGGGUUGUCAUGCCAAUGGCACUGCCCGGUAGCUAAAUGCGGAAGAGAUAAGUGCUGAAAGCAUCUAAGCACGAAACUUGCCCCGAGAUGAGUUCUCCCUGACCCUUUAAGGGUCCUGAAGGAACGUUGAAGACGACGACGUUGAUAGGCCGGGUGUGUAAGCGCAGCGAUGCGUUGAGCUAACCGGUACUAAUGAACCGUGAGGCUUAACCUUACAACGCCGAAGGUGUUU